This is a non-coding RNA of Annulohypoxylon bovei var. microspora, 89 nucleotides long. Lineage: Eukaryota; Fungi; Ascomycota; Sordariomycetes; Xylariales; Hypoxylaceae. The record is from the annotation of a GenBank genome assembly.
GCCCGACUAGCUCACCGGUAGAGCGCCUCACUAGUACCUUCCCUCAUAGGUUUAUGAGGAGGCAACAGGUUCGACUCCUGUGUUGGGCA